Molecule: non-coding RNA, 20 nt
Organism: Caenorhabditis elegans
Lineage: Eukaryota; Metazoa; Nematoda; Chromadorea; Rhabditida; Rhabditidae
Source: Ensembl
GACAACCAUUCCGUAGGCUG